This is a long non-coding RNA of Lagopus leucura (white-tailed ptarmigan), 558 nucleotides long. RefSeq lists it as uncharacterized. NCBI's taxonomy places the organism in Eukaryota, Metazoa, Chordata, Aves, Galliformes, Phasianidae. The record is from RefSeq and is a predicted model, not a curated record. The transcript has 6 exons.
GUUGAUUAUUUCCCUUUUCACUGAAUUGACUUGGAAGUCAAUUUACCAAAGGAUUCCUUAGAACAAUUCUACUGAACAGAAAGUGUGACCAGUUCCACCUGAGUAAUACCUGGGUCAUCCUCCACGUUAGAUGUGCACACAUAUAUUUAAAAUAAAAAAGUUACAAAACUAGUCAGCACCAGAAGAAAGUAUAUGGCUGCACUAGAGGAAUUUUGGACGUUUACCAAUGUUGCUUUUCAGCUGCUUCAUCCCCAUUGCUCUUCUGUCCUACACGUGAGAGGCCAGCACUGGUGGUGUAAAUUCUGCCCUCGGGUCAUACUGCUUGUUCUCCAGGUACCAUGGAUUCAAAGCUGACAGGAGCUGGAGCCAUCCUAAGAAUCACAUGCUGUUCAGCAAGGAGACAGGCUCCAAGUAGCUUAGCUCCAUCUGAUGUGAUAGCUGUAUCCUAUCCAGUCAUCAGUUGAAACCCACCAGUGGCCAGGCCUGGAUCUGGGCUUAUUAAACACAUUAUCAUCAAGGUAUUUCAAUCACUGCCGAGUCUGCGUGGCAAAAAAAAAA